GUCUACGGCCAUACCACCCUGAACGCGCCCGAUCUCUUCUGAUCUCGGAAGCUAACCAAGGUCGGGCCUGGUUAGUACUUGGAUGGGAGACCGCCUGGAAAUACAGGGAGCUGUAGGCU
Molecule: ribosomal RNA, 119 nt
Filed under: Dasypus novemcinctus (nine-banded armadillo)
Lineage: Eukaryota; Metazoa; Chordata; Mammalia; Cingulata; Dasypodidae
Source: RNAcentral